CAUGGAACAGUCGGGAAACUGAGGCUAGGAGAGGCAGGGACUGGCCGGGAACCCACCAGGUGAGCAGAGCCUAGAGGGGCUGGGGGAGGUUUCGGGCUCCUAGGCCAGGGCUUCACUUUCCCAUGGGGUUUUUGAGGGAAUGAGAGCCUCUAAGAUCCUGGAGGACCGCUGAACCCAUCCCAUGUGGGGUCCUUUCCUCUGGGCAUCCCUGAGUGGGCACAGGUCCACGCAAUUGCAUGGAAACACAGUCCCCCGCCCCCAGUAACUAAUCACCCACGUGGGUAUCAAAGGAUGAGUGGACUCUGGAGUUGACAGGCGGUGGGGGAGAAAAGUGGUGUGGGGCGGGGACAUUGUCUCCAGGGAACAUGCCCAUGAGUGGAGCCAUGCCAGGCCGAUGGCCAGGGGAUCCCCAAGAUGCCCCCGUGUGUAUCACAGGCACCCCCAUUCUAGAGAAGCACCCCACUCAGCUCCCGUGGUUGGAGACCUUCGAGUGCGCAACGUGUUCUCAUGCUGUGUCAUGAUAUCUCGAGGCUGUGGUCUCAGGAGAGCCCACAGGGAGAGCCUUUUCCCACUUGCAGACGGUGGGUCCGGUCUCACCCCCGAAGCCUCUGGUCACUUGCCCGGAGGGACUCAAAGGUGACAUGGGAGGCCCUGGCUUGGCCGGUCUAGCCUGACACGGCCCUGAUCCGACUGAAAUCAACUGAUGAAAUCGGGAAAUGUCUGGCCGAAUCCCGAUACACCUGCCCUACAGAGUUGUGCGUGUGCCCCGUCGCCCAGGAGGGCUACCCUGGACCGAGGAAGAGAGUGGCUGCAGGGAGGUCUUGGGAAGAUAAGCCUGGAGAUGUUCUGGGAAGGCCUCCUUCACCGCCCAGUCCCCCACUGGGUCCUGGUUCACGGGUCCUGGGAUCAGGACCCGGAGCCCCCGGAGCCAGAGCCCGAGGAGUCCGGGGCAGGAGCGGAAGCCGGUGCGGCUCCAGAGCCCGACCCAAGGGCAU
Molecule: long non-coding RNA, 995 nt
Organism: Felis catus (domestic cat)
Lineage: Eukaryota; Metazoa; Chordata; Mammalia; Carnivora; Felidae
Exons: 3
Source: RefSeq, a predicted model, not a curated record